GAGUAACACGUAGGUAACCUACCUAUAAGACUGGGAUAACUUCGGGAAACCGGAGCUAAUACCGGAUAAUAUUUCGAACCGCAUGGUUCGAUAGUGAAAGAUGGCUUUGCUAUCACUUAUAGAUGGACCUGCGCCGUAUUAGCUAGUUGGUAAGGUAACGGCUUACCAAGGCAACGAUACGUAGCCGACCUGAGAGGGUGAUCGGCCACACUGGAACUGAGACACGGUCCAGACUCC
RNAcentral lists this ribosomal RNA (237 nucleotides) under uncultured bacterium. Its description in RNAcentral is "partial 16S ribosomal RNA". It matches the Rfam family "Bacterial small subunit ribosomal RNA", at positions 108 to 339 of the family's 1533-position model. The record is from RNAcentral.